AGCGAACGCUGGCGGCAUGCUUAACACAUGCAAGUCGAACGCAUCGUUCGGGGUCAGGGGCUGACGGGGGAGUAACACGGGGGAUCGUACCCUUGUAUCUGGGAUAACUUCGGGAAACUGGUGCUAAUACCGGAUACGACCUUUUGGGGGCAGGUAUGCUGUCGAGGGAGGGGCCGGAGUGUUACUAGGUGGUUGGUGGGGUUAAGGCCUAACAAGGCGGGGAUCAGUAGCUGGUCUGAGAGGAGGAUCAGCAACACUGGGACUGGGACACGGCCCCGACUCCUACGGGAGGUGGCAGUGGUUGAUAUUGGGCAAUGGGCGCAAGCCUGAUCCACCCAUGCCGGGUGAGCGAUGUUGGCGUUAGGGUUGUAAUGCGCUUUUGUCCGGGCCGAUAAUGACGGUACCGGAAGAAUAAGCCCCGGCUAACUACGUG
This 433-nucleotide ribosomal RNA is filed under the name uncultured bacterium. RNAcentral's name for it is "partial 16S ribosomal RNA". It matches the Rfam family "Bacterial small subunit ribosomal RNA", at positions 28 to 507 of the family's 1533-position model. The record is from RNAcentral.